RNAcentral lists this transfer RNA (73 nucleotides) under Albula goreensis. It matches the Rfam family "tRNA". From Rfam's summary of the family: Transfer RNA (tRNA) molecules are approximately 80 nucleotides in length. Their secondary structure includes four short double-helical elements and three loops (D, anti-codon, and T loops). Lineage: Eukaryota; Metazoa; Chordata; Actinopteri; Albuliformes; Albulidae. The record is from Rfam by way of RNAcentral.
CGGGGAUUAGCUCAAAUGGUAGAGCGCUCGCUUAGCAUGCGAGAGGUAGCGGGAUCAAUGCCUGCAUCCUCCA